GCCAGGGUGGCAGAGCGGUCAAUGCGGUCGCCUCAAAAGCGACUUCUCAUCACCGAGAGCGCGGGUUCGAAUCCCGUCCCUGGCG
RNAcentral lists this transfer RNA (85 nucleotides) under Nanobdellota archaeon. RNAcentral describes it as "tRNA-Leu". It matches the Rfam family "tRNA". Rfam says of the family: Transfer RNA (tRNA) molecules are approximately 80 nucleotides in length. Their secondary structure includes four short double-helical elements and three loops (D, anti-codon, and T loops). Lineage: Archaea; Nanobdellati; Nanobdellota. The record is from RNAcentral.